This 1038-nucleotide ribosomal RNA is filed under the name uncultured bacterium. RNAcentral's name for it is "bacterial SSU rRNA". It matches the Rfam family "Bacterial small subunit ribosomal RNA", at positions 25 to 1103 of the family's 1533-position model. The record is from RNAcentral.
GGGGGGAAAUGGGGGGGCGUGCUACACAUGCAAGUCGAACGGGAAUCUUCGGAUUCUAGUGGCGGACGGGUGAGUAACGCGUAAGAAUCUAACUUCAGGACGGGGACAACAGUUGGAAACGACUGCUAAUACCCGAUGUGCCGCAAGGUGAAACCUAAUUGGCCUGGAGAAGAGCUUGCGUCUGAUUAGCUAGUUGGUGGGGUAAGAGCCUACCAAGGCGACGAUCAGUAGCUGGUCUGAGAGGAUGAGCAGCCACACUGGGACUGAGACACGGCCCAGACUCCUACGGGAGGCAGCAGUGGGGAAUUUUCCGCAAUGGGCGAAAGCCUGACGGAGCAACGCCGCGUGAGGGAGGAAGGUCUUUGGAUUGUAAACCUCUUUUCUCAAGGAAGAAGUUCUGACGGUACUUGAGGAAUCAGCCUCGGCUAACUCCGUGCCAGCAGCCGCGGUAAUACGGGGGAGGCAAGCGUUAUCCGGAAUUAUUGGGCGUAAAGCGUCCGCAGGUGGUCAGCCAAGUCUGCCGUCAAAUCAGGUUGCUUAACGACCUAAAGGCGGUGGAAACUGGCAGACUAGAGAGCAGUAGGGGUAGCAGGAAUUCCCAGUGUAGCGGUGAAAUGCGUAGAGAUUGGGAAGAACAUCGGUGGCGAAAGCGUGCUACUGGGCUGUAUCUGACACUCAGGGACGAAAGCUAGGGGAGCGAAAGGGAUUAGAUACCCCUGUAGUCCUAGCCGUAAACGAUGGAUACUAGGCGUGGCUUGUAUCGACCCGAGCCGUGCCGAAGCUAACGCGUUAAGUAUCCCGCCUGGGGAGUACGCACGCAAGUGUGAAACUCAAAGGAAUUGACGGGGGCCCGCACAAGCGGUGGAGUAUGUGGUUUAAUUCGAUGCAACGCGAAGAACCUUACCAAGACUUGACAUGUCGCGAACCCUGGUGAAAGCUGGGGGGUGCCUUCCGGGAGCGCGAACACAGGUGGGUGCAUGGCUGUCGGCCAGCUCGUGUCGUGAGAUGUUGGGUUAAGUCCCGCAACCAAGNGAAACC